This 253-nucleotide ribosomal RNA is filed under the name uncultured bacterium. RNAcentral's name for it is "partial 16S ribosomal RNA". It matches the Rfam family "Bacterial small subunit ribosomal RNA", at positions 524 to 776 of the family's 1533-position model. The record is from RNAcentral.
UACGGGGGGAGCAAGCGUUACUCGGAAUCACUGGGCGUAAAGAGCAUGUAGGCUGGUAGAAAAGUUGGAAGUGAAAUCCUGUGGCUUAACCAUAGAACUGCUUCCAAAACUCUCUACCUAGAAUAUGGGAGAGGUAGAUGGAAUUUCUGGUGUAGGGGUAAAAUCCGUAGAGAUCAGAAGGAAUACCGAUUGCGAAGGCGAUCUACUGGAACAUUAUUGACGCUGAGAUGCGAAAGCGUGGGGAGCAAACAGG